This 114-nucleotide small nuclear RNA is filed under the name Marchantia polymorpha subsp. ruderalis. Its description in RNAcentral is "U5 spliceosomal RNA". It matches the Rfam family "U5 spliceosomal RNA". From Rfam's summary of the family: U5 RNA is a component of both types of known spliceosome. The precise function of this molecule is unknown, though it is known that the 5' loop is required for splice site selection and p220 binding, and that both the 3' stem-loop and the Sm site are important for Sm protein binding and cap methylation. The record is from Rfam by way of RNAcentral. Lineage: Eukaryota; Viridiplantae; Streptophyta; Marchantiopsida; Marchantiales; Marchantiaceae.
AUCAGUGUGUUCAGCCCAGAGCGAACUAUUCUUUCGCCUUUUACUAAAGAAUACCGUGUGCGGGACACAGAAGCAGCUUGUUCAAAUAUUUGGAAUGCUCCUUCGUUGGAGCAA